UUUGAAUGUUGACAGACCUGACUGGUGGGUGGUGCAGCCACCUGUGCACUUCUUGGACAGUGCAGGGGGUGGGGGAGUUAGAGAGAGAAGCUGGAAAAUGGGCUGCCCCAGCAGCAAAAUGUGCCUCUCUCCUCCAUGUGCAGCAACAAGGGUAAUUAGUAUUUGUUAAUAGUGCUUUUCUGGAAGAAUGUCAGGGACUAUGGCAGAGGGUGUCUGGAAUCCAGGAAAUGCUUUGAAUGACAAGCAACUCUUGCUGCAAAGGCUGGAUGGAUCUCAUGAUCUCUGCAAUACGAGAUCAGGAUGCGGUGCUAGCUACAUCUGGGGCUAUCCCAGUGAAGGCAUUUUCAGAGCUUUGAAAUUCUGUGUCUGCCUUAGUUACACCCUGGUGCUAGGGAAUCUACCGUGUAAGGAACUGAGUCUAACUACUUUAUUUGUAAUUAUAGCUGCUCCAAGGUAUAAUAAUCCUUGAAAACUGCGGGAGGAAGCCCUGAAACAACACAAAACCCUAUCUCAAGAACUCGUUAACCUCCAGGGAGAGCUAG
This 542-nucleotide long non-coding RNA is filed under the name Heterocephalus glaber (naked mole-rat). RNAcentral describes it as "lncRNA (ENSHGLG00100051607.1)". The record is from RNAcentral. Lineage: Eukaryota; Metazoa; Chordata; Mammalia; Rodentia; Bathyergidae.